Molecule: long non-coding RNA, 220 nt
Filed under: Capsicum annuum
Lineage: Eukaryota; Viridiplantae; Streptophyta; Magnoliopsida; Solanales; Solanaceae
Description: long non-coding RNA (CANN_LNC006228)
Source: RNAcentral
CCCUUUUGUCAUUUUGUCUAUUAUUGUAAUGUAGUAUAAAUAGAACAUUGUAGAGUUUAUUUCUUUAGUUGAUCAUUAUUAUUGAAGAAUACUUCUCUUAGAGUGAGAGAGAGUCCAAUUGAAACUAGGGCAUAACAUAAGGGUAGAUUCUCUUGUGUGUUACAUUUUGCUUGAUACGUUGGUGCUUUGGUGGUGGACGCAUCUCUUGUGUCAAUUGUAA